Nyctereutes procyonoides (raccoon dog) is the source of this 1991-nucleotide long non-coding RNA. RefSeq lists it as uncharacterized. The record is from RefSeq and is a predicted model, not a curated record. The transcript is spliced from 2 exons. Lineage: Eukaryota; Metazoa; Chordata; Mammalia; Carnivora; Canidae.
CGGGCGCGACGCGCUUAUCUCUGGUCUGAGCGGCCCCUCCUCCCUCAGCAUCGGCGGCCUCACCGUUCGCCGGGGGGCGGCCUGCUUUGGUUCCUCUUACUCAGGUAUUUUAUUUAUUCAUGAGAGACACAGAAAGAGGCAAAGACACAGGCAGAGGGAGAAGCAGGUCCCAUGCAGGGAGCCCAACGCGGGACACGGAUCCCAGGACCCCAGGAUCACGCCCUGGGCCAAAGGCAGGCGCCAAACCUCUGAGCUACCCAGGGAUCCCCAUAUUGUAUUCUUUUUAAAAAAAAAUAUUCACAGCUCUUGGCAGAGUAACUGGUCAAUGUGAGGUGCUCACAAAGUGAGCAAAUAUUGAAGGGAAUGAAUUCUUAAGUAUGUGACUUAGAUGAAAUUGUAAUGUAUGUUUAUGGGGCAUCAUUCAUAGUAUUGGGGAAAUAAUCAUUGUAAGUCAUCAUUUCUGUCAAGUAUAUAAUUGAGACAUUGGAAUGGUGUGAGGAAAGACAGAAGCAGAACAGCACAGGCCAUCUUCACAGAGAGCAGAGCACUCCAGUCUGGCCAGAAUAGGAUAUAAGCCAUAAGAGGUAAAGCAAGAGGAGAGAAGAUUGGAAGAUAAAUUUAUCUGAGGCAGUGUUGUAAAAAGAUUUCUAGUGCCAUUAAGCUUGGACUAGCUGGGGAGUCAUUUGAGCAAUUCCUUGACCCAUGUUAUGUCGUUAGAUAAGAACCCCGUCUUCAUAUUCCCAGUAGCUAGCAUGAUACCUGUUAAUAAACACCGAAUACAAAUGUCGGGUUGAAAGGAGAUGAGACUGGUGAUAGCUCACAUUUGUUGAAUACUUGAAAUGUGUUUGGGGCUGUUAUAAGUGCUUUACAUGUAUUUUUUUUUCUUUUUAAAAAUUUAUUUAUUUAUUUAGAACACUUGUAGGGGUGGGAGAUGAGAGGGAGAGAAAAUCUCAAGCAGACUGCUGAGCACGAGCCCAAUGAUGGCUAGGUCUCAUGGCCCUGAGAUCAUAACCUGAGCCAAAGCCAAGAGUCUGAAAUUUAACCAACUGAGCUACCCAGGUGCCCCAGUGCUGUUAUAUGUAUUAACUCUUUUAAUUCCUUUCUUAUAACCUUAUGAAGUAGAUGCUAUUAUUAUCAUCCCCAUUUUUCAAAUGAAGCAAUUGAAGCAAUAGAUGUUAAAUAAUUUACUUGUGGUCAAACUUUUAGUAAGUGAUCUUAAGCUGGGAUGUGAACCCAAGUAGUCUGCCCAUGGAUGAUCUGUUUUUCUGGUUGCUAAACACAGCAGGUAGUUUAAGAUCUAGGACUAAAGUUGAGAAAAAAGAUCAGGAGAGGUAGAUUUGGGAGUCAUAUUUGAAUUGAUGUUUGAUUCAGUCAUGCAGAUAGAUGAGCUUUAUAAGGAAGUAUAAAAUAGAAUUUAGUUUUGAGUCGAAGAUUGAACUUUGGGUUAGAUCCUCAUUCGGGGAACAGAAUAGGAAGUAGAACCAACGGAAGAGCAUCAAACAAGAAAGAAAAGCAAAAUUACAUAAUAUGAAGAUGCCAGAACAAGACAAGGCCCCAGUAAGGGCUUCAUGUUUGUUGAAUAAAUGACUAAUCAGGAGUUGUGCUUGUUUGUGCCAUGGACUUCUUUGACAGUCUGCUAGAGCCUUAGGACCUUGUUUGACAAUACCAUUUGUAAAAGUAUAAAUAAAAUACAUAAUUAUCAGAAUUAUGUUUAAAGAAAUGUGUGAUGAUCCAGUGAUAUGUGCUUCCAUGUUAAUAUAAUACAUGUGGUUCUUAAGUAACAAAUAAAAUGAUUUAUUGGCAAGUCUAACAACUUAUUAAAUUAUAGAGAUAUUUUGAGAUAUCUGUAUGUGACAUGAAAAUAUUAAUUGAUUUCUAUUGAUGGAAACAUUGCAGGUACUGCUAGUACUACAAAGAUUUGCUUUCUACAUUCCUAAACUUAAAUUUCAGUUUGAUGUUAUUGGAAAUAAAAGUGACUUUAAAAAAUUCCA